Molecule: unclassified non-coding RNA, 151 nt
Filed under: Rhodotorula diobovata
Lineage: Eukaryota; Fungi; Basidiomycota; Microbotryomycetes; Sporidiobolales; Sporidiobolaceae
Description: ITS1
Source: RNAcentral
GUGAAUAUAGGACGUCCAACUUAACUUGGAGUCCGAACUCUCACUUUCUAACCCUGUGCAUCUGUUAAUUGGACUAGUAGCUCUUCGGAGUGAACCGCCAUUCACUUAUAAACACAAAGUCUAUGAAUGUAUACAAAUUUAUAACAAAACA